Molecule: ribosomal RNA, 253 nt
Filed under: uncultured bacterium
Lineage: Bacteria
Description: partial 16S ribosomal RNA
Rfam family: Bacterial small subunit ribosomal RNA
Source: RNAcentral
UACGAAGGACCCAAGCGUUAUCCGGAUUUAUUGGGGUUAAAGGGUGCGUAGGCGGGUUAUUAAGUCAGUGGUGAAAGCUCCUAGCUCAACUGGGAAAUUGCCAUUGAUACUGAUGAUCUUGAGUAUGAUUGAGGUGGGCGGAAUGUGUCAUGUAGCGGUGAAAUGCUUAGAUAUGACACAGAACACCGAUUGCGAAGGCAGCUUACUAAGCCAUAACUGACGCUGAUGCACGAAAGCGUGGGGAGCAAACAGG